GCAUCACCUCGGUGACUGGUACCCAGAGACUUCUUCUGGCUCAAGAACUGACCUCAAUCAGAGUGUGGGGCGAAAGCAGAAAAGCAAAUUACCUCCCUGCUUCCACAGUUUGCUCCCGAAGGACUCCAGAACCUCACAUAAACAAAAACUAAUUAUAAUACGCACACAAAAAUUUAGUAAAAACUCUCAAAGCUCUGCUCGUAGGCUGAACAAAAAGGAAGCUGGAAGAGUGAAUGUCACAGUGCCAUCUACUGACGCCAGCCCCGACCGCGGAGGGAGAACACCCAACUGCAGGGGCAAAAAUAAAUAAAUAAGGCUGGGAGUCUUGGAAGGAUUAUGUUUAAAGGAAGGAGAUGACUGCUAAUUAAUGUGACAAGAGAGAAAGCCUCACCUACUGACAGGUUAUUCAUCCCACAAGUGUUAGAAUCUUCUUCAGCGAUGUCUGUUCCUAUAAUUCCUGGAAAAAGGCUCGUGCUGGAGGAGCAGCUGACCAGAACCCUCAGUGCCAGCUCCCAUACUUCUAUUUUGUCUUGAUGAGCUUUACAGCAGAGGAGAGUUACAGCCUGCUCUGUGGCAAGCAAUUUGAAGGCAUAAAGGAAUGCGAUUGUGGAAUAAAACCCGCUCUGUGUGCUGUGAGAUAACUUCACCUGACACAGAAAAUGAGCGGUAACUCGGAGGCAGGUGCUUCAGAGAAAAUGUGACCUGGAUCCAAAUGGCCACUGUGUUCGCCGUGCAGAGCCCCAAACCUUCUCAGACAGCCAAAGAUGGAGAAGAAAAGUCAAAUUAAACCUCUCACAGAUUCUGCCUCAGUUGUCCUGAUGCAGGAAACAUCUCUGGGUUUAUCCUGCAACCAAAGCAUUUCUGAUGUUUAAAGGAUUUUAUUUCUUACUGCACUUUUUGGAAGGCUGGGUCCUCACUCCAACAAGGGAUUCCCGUCCUGCGCUCUGCAAAGCCCCCUGGAAGCACCACUGGUUGCCAAGCCCCAUCCGUGCUGAAUCUCUGGAGCCCCCUGAGGCUGGGAGUGCACCCCACUGCUCUGCCAAGCACCAAGAACUUGCUUCUCAUGCCCUUCUUCAUUGCCCCCCCAGCCUGGGGACACCACGGCACAUCUGGUCCGUGGAUCAAGGACUCUUUGCAAGCCCUGCCUGUGCCCUGGGCUUCCUCAGCCUGCAAGAAUUGGAUGCUCCAGGCCAUGCCAGUGCACCCCACGCCAUGGGAAGAGGCUCUGUAUCACUAAGCAACCGUGCCUCCCACGGAAAGGAGCAGAAGUCAGAGCCCUGGGUGCCGCUGCCACGCAGCCUGUCCUUUCCCCAGCACCGCCCCUGCUGCGGCCAGGCUUGGAGGCAAGUGCCUCAUUCCAGACCUGAGGAUGUGAUUCCCAAAUGAGGGGUUUGCAGCCAGCCUCCCUCAGUCUCAGUAUUUCCCAGCAGCGUUUGCCAUGGUGUGGAAUGUGGGUGAUUUUAUUGAUGUUUAGCCAUUACAGCUGCAGGAGGAAGCAAGGCGUGCUGCCCGCUGGCCCCUGAGUGCUCCAGAAGCAGAAAAAUCUCCAAAGCACCCCCAAAUGGAGCUCAAACCCUCUUGGUGCUUUCAGGAUGCUGUCCCUGAGCUGAGCAGCUUCUCUGCAGAGACACAAACCACCCCCAGUGUUUCACCCAACACCAGCAGCGAGCCCUCGAUAAAAUCUCCUGCAAACCACAGAGCAGGCACAGCGCCAAGGGGCCGGGCCCUGGGAGUUACAGACUGUACUACCUGCAAGAGAGGCUUCUGAGAAACUGAAAUUGCUCUGCAAGUGCUUCUGUCAGACACCGCUGUGCCUGCUCAGGGGGCCAGAGGUGACACACCCAUCACUUUCUGCCUAGGAAACCCUCCCGAGUUCUGCCAGCAGUCGCCCCUAAAUAAAGGUUCCUUCUUAAAACAGUCGAUGGCAGCUGCAGGGGAGAAAAGCAUCUUCUGAAAAGAAAGCUGCUCCUUCAAUUCUAGAAGGAUCAGGACUUUGUGCCUCUGGUGCUGUUUCUGAUCCUCUAGAAAGGCCUUGCCCUCAGAGGAAGCACCGACACUUCCUCGCUUCCUUUCAGGUUUGUCCAAAUUUGGCCCACAACUGUAAAAAGCACAGGGAGGCUCUGGCUGCAGAGGGACCAAAAGACCCCUUUUGCUCACCCACAUCCUCUUUUCUUAGGAAAACAGACUGAAAAUCCAGCUUUCCUUCCAGGCUGGAGCACAUUAGGCUGCUUGGACCUCGUCCACGUUUGAUGGUAAUCUCCUCUGACAAGCAGCCUCCUAUAACCACCGAGCUGCCAAGCCACAUCCCCCUUCCCCUGCCACCCCCACCCCGAUGUCCUUCCCAGCCAUCCUGUGGUUUUUCCCGGGUCCCAGCCCUCUGCAGGCUGACCUACUUCUGCCCAGCCUGCCGGAGGCCGGGGUAUGGAAACACCACGGGGAGAGCGGCACGGGCAGCCACUGCUGUGUCCAUGGCAGCGUGAGCCCACGGGGGUGGCAGCUGCCAGGCAGGCUGGGUGACACCUCUGUGACAAGCUAAAUGUGAGCUCUGAAGGCUGUGAGGUGCAGCAAGCAGUGGCGUCACCCCUGGCAGAUGCUCUUGCCCGCCGUGGUUCUGCACCACAUCCUCGACCCUCGGCGGCGAAUUCCUCACGUGUCACUCACCACAGACUUGGUUGCAAACAUGUAUUUGUCCCUGAGCUGGAAGUCUUCAACGUCUUCCAGGAUUAUCUCCUUGUUUUCCCGGCUCUGGAAGAAGUCUGUGCUGCGGAUGACCGUGGAGGCCCCGGAGGGCUCGUGCCGCUCGAUGUACACCGUGCUGGGCUUGUCGUAGGGCUCAACCCCCCUGGGGAGGACAGGGGACAUGGUGGGAUUGGAGAAGAAGGCAGCAGGAGCAAGGAGAUGGGGGCAGCAAACAACGCAAGAAGUGAGGAAUGAGAGAAGACAGGAGCUGGGUGCACGCAAUACGUACCAAGAAAAGGACUUCACGUGUUCCUGAAUCAUUAUCCAGGUCUGGCCAAAAUCGUCUGAUUUCCAGAGCUGCAACGACAAAGUGAACGACCAUCUGAUUGUGGGAAUCGUUGAGGCUGACCUGCAACACCAAGGGAAAGGACACCCUGAGUCACAGCCUCAGCCACAGCAAGCUCCCGCUCGUGCCACCCCUCCUUGGAAAUACCAGACUUUGGGAAAACUCAUUCAAAGUGGCAUCUCUCCUGAACGUGUAGGCAGAAUGUGCCUGAAAGGCAUCUUCCAACAAAUGAAUGCCCUACAGGAAUGGGACGGGAAGAAGACAGCCCCUGGAGCUGCCCUCCGAGAGCAGG
Molecule: long non-coding RNA, 3317 nt
Organism: Corvus hawaiiensis (hawaiian crow)
Lineage: Eukaryota; Metazoa; Chordata; Aves; Passeriformes; Corvidae
Exons: 7
Source: RefSeq, a predicted model, not a curated record